RNAcentral lists this ribosomal RNA (779 nucleotides) under Vibrio hispanicus. Its description in RNAcentral is "bacterial SSU rRNA". It matches the Rfam family "Bacterial small subunit ribosomal RNA", at positions 56 to 815 of the family's 1533-position model. The record is from RNAcentral. Lineage: Bacteria; Pseudomonadati; Pseudomonadota; Gammaproteobacteria; Vibrionales; Vibrionaceae.
UGCAGUCGAGCGGAACGAGUUAACUGACCCUUCGGGGGAACGUUAACGGCGUCGAGCGGCGGACGGGUGAGUAAUGCCUGGGAAAUUGCCCUGAUGUGGGGGAUAACCAUUGGAAACGAUGGCUAAUACCGCAUAAUAGCUUCGGCUCAAAGAGGGGGACCUUCGGGCCUCUCGCGUCAGGAUAUGCCCAGGUGGGAUUAGCUAGUUGGUGAGGUAAUGGCUCACCAAGGCAACGAUCCCUAGCUGGUCUGAGAGGAUGAUCAGCCACACUGGAACUGAGACACGGUCCAGACUCCUACGGGAGGCAGCAGUGGGGAAUAUUGCACAAUGGGCGCAAGCCUGAUGCAGCCAUGCCGCGUGUGUGAAGAAGGCCUUCGGGUUGUAAAGCACUUUCAGUCGUGAGGAAGGUAGUGUAUUUAAUAGAUGCAUUAUUUGACGUUAGCGACAGAAGAAGCACCGGCUAACUCCGUGCCAGCAGCCGCGGUAAUACGGAGGGUGCGAGCGUUAAUCGGAAUUACUGGGCGUAAAGCGCAUGCAGGUGGAUGAUUAAGUCAGAUGUGAAAGCCCGGGGCUCAACCUCGGAAUAGCAUUUGAAACUGGUCGUCUAGAGUACUGUAGAGGGGGGUAGAAUUUCAGGUGUAGCGGUGAAAUGCGUAGAGAUCUGAAGGAAUACCGGUGGCGAAGGCGGCCCCCUGGACAGAUACUGACACUCAGAUGCGAAAGCGUGGGGAGCAAACAGGAUUAUAUACCCUGGUAGUCCACGCCGUAAACGAUGUCUA